CACGACACCAGAUUUACACAAAUCGAGUUUCCAGCAGCUUCAGGAGGGUCAGUUGUGAGUUAUUCAACAGAAAUGUCUCACAUCCUUCUUCUUCUUCUUCUUCUGACUUUUGAGACUGUGGAAUUAGAAGAGAUAAAAGUGAGGCCUAGACAAGAUGUCACUCUUCACUGUCAGGAUCCCAGUGGUGUAAAUAUCACUCUGUUAGAGUGGAGCAUACCUGAGAUUAAGUCAGACGGAUACGUCUUCUUCUACCGAAACGGGCGCUCAUAUGAAAGCUACCAGCAUGAGCGUUUUAAAGGCCGAGUGGAGCUGAAACACCCGUCUAUGAAAAACGGAGACGUUUCUGUGAUUCUCAAGAACGUCAACGUCAACGAUACAGGAACAUAUGAGUGUCGGAUUAUAACCAGUGAUCUCAGCAGCGGUCAGAGAGUUCAGAGUGAGUCCAGGCGGUCCAUCGACCUCACAGUCAUAGACUCUGAGCUUGAUUUUACCGUGAGAACAGCAGGUGAGCGUGGUGGAGCUUUUAGCAGGAUCUCGUCCUUUCUCCUGAUCUGCAUCCUCGCCUAUUGUGCUGCCUUAAGGCGUUGAAACUCAUCAGAAAACUGCUCAGUCGUGAAGUUCAGUACAAAUGUUGUGGAUCCAAUCUGACUCUGAGUGAUGAGCCGAGUCCAUUGUAAAUAUCCACUGUCAUACAAAGGAUAUUUGAAGAUCAAAAGGGGACAGUGCAAUGAGCAAAAUCAAAGUGGAAGAAGAUGGACGGAUGUUCAAAACUAAAACCUGAAUAAAUGAAAGUGAGCAGGACACGAGGUCGUAUCAGGAAUUUGAAGGAAGAUCGAGGUAUGAAAGCCUGUGGAGGGAAAUGGAGCCUCACUCUGUUUUUUGUUAUGUUUUCUUAUGUUAUGUGGCUCAAAUUAGGAGAUGAUACAUAUUUUCUGUGUAUUCGUAUGUAUGCAUUUGAACAUGUUCAUUUCUCUGUACCAUGUUUUUAUAUUUCUCCUUUGUUUGUUGUGACAUAAUUUUAUGAUAUUUAUUGUUGUUGAUCUGAUCACAGAAAUAAAAUGAGAGCCUCACAAGUAA
Molecule: long non-coding RNA, 1077 nt
Organism: Astatotilapia calliptera (eastern happy)
Lineage: Eukaryota; Metazoa; Chordata; Actinopteri; Cichliformes; Cichlidae
Source: Ensembl